RNAcentral lists this long non-coding RNA (1688 nucleotides) under Brachypodium distachyon (stiff brome). RNAcentral's name for it is "long non-coding RNA (BDIS_LNC001234)". Lineage: Eukaryota; Viridiplantae; Streptophyta; Magnoliopsida; Poales; Poaceae. The record is from RNAcentral.
AUGGAUUCCAGAAUGAUAAAAAUUGCAGAGCUUUCACAUCUUGUCUUCUCAUAUAGGAAACUCGCAUUGAGUUGGAACUUCUCCUUCGCUGUGUCAGUUACAGGUACCAGUUCAUGCUCCCAUGUAGCUAUGAAACUCGUGAUUUCUUCCUUAACGGAAAUUUCCUUGUGAGGGGCCAUGUGUCGUGUGGGAAACACUACCGCAUGCAAAUGAUACCCUAGUUUUUCAAAUAACAACCUUUUAUUGGCCGUUACUAGAAAAAGAAAAGGACGACUGGGAGGAGGAUGCCCUCCACGGUGCAAGUGCACUGGCGGGUGGGCAUGCUCCCUUAGCAAGAGAGAAAGAUUCACUGACGUCAUGUGACUUCGGGCGGCUGAAAUAUGGGUUCCACAACAAGUUGGCACACAUGUCAGUCAUCCAAAAUCACACGACUUAGCGACCCAUGGCACCCUCCCAUGGUGUUUUCUUCUUUCUAGCUCUAAGAUUCAAGAUGCAAUAACUUUUACGAACAAUUUUCACGGUCAGAUUUUUCUUGACGAGAUCUUCAAAUCUAGACCCCAUAAUUCUACCUCUGAAAAAAUUAUCCAUUUUUGUCCUAUCUUGAUUGCUACAUUAGUCAUAUCAAGUUGCUCAUUAAUAUCUUUGACUAAUGACUAUGGCAGGACUACUCGUGAGACACAACAAAAGGACAAGACUGAGUGCAGGAGUUUUGUAAAACACAACACAAGACACCACGUGGCGCAAGACAAACAAUUACAUACACAAAAACAGUCAGGAUAACUAUGAAAUACAAGACAAGACUACUAUGAGACAUUAGGCAGGACAAACAUGAGAAGUUAGAGAAGAUAAAAAAUGGCAAAAAAGUUCAAUACAACAUUUAUAUAUGAUCUAGUCUUACUACUUUCUCGCAAGAAAUGCAAACUCGGGUGGUUUGGUUCAUUGUGGUGGAACCAUCAACCCAAGUUCAAGUCCCGAAGAGCCCUACAAGUCUCAAACAUGUGUGUUCGCAUUUCAUUGAAUUUAACCGGCGAUGUAGCAAUGUCUACGUUUGUAUUGUGUUUCCUAAAAAACACUUUCUCGCAAGAAAUAAAUGGUAAAACUGAAUGUUGUAGGAUCACGCAAAAAAGAAAAGGAAAACCUCGGAGAAAACCCGAGUGGCUGCACCCUCUCCUCAGGUGAAACCCUUUUUGUUUUAGCAAAACCGAAAAAGAAAGAGUGAAAAAAAAAAGAACUCCCACGUUUUAAUGGGCCGCCUUAGGGCUCGUUCGUUUGUGGGUUUCCCGGUGGGGAUCAGGCAGGAUCAACGGGAAUUUGUGCUAAAAUCUUGAUAAUCCCGGUUGAUCCAAGCCGGGCUGGGACAAAACGAACAGGGCCCUAGUGGGUAGAACGGAACAGGCUUUCCCCACCAUCUCUCCCUGCCUCGUGCUCUCGAAAAAAAAACAAUUCACUCUCUGGCUCUCUGCCUUGUAGGAUAGGGAGCAAACGCUGAAGACAGCCGACGAGUGGAGGCUGGGAGACUUUUUUUUUUUUGCGGAGAAGGCCGGGAGAUCUGCUGUCUGCGCAUCCAAGGUAGAUCGAUCAACCAUCUCGCAAACCAAAGGUUCGCCCUCUCCAUGGUAUAGGAACUGUUUCGAAUUUCUCGAUCUUGUUUCGUUGGUAUAAUUGCCCCCGUACUAGAUCAAAGGUCU